GUCGAACGUGAAAGGGGCUUCGGCCCUGAGUAAAGUGGCAAACGGGUGAGUAACGCGUGGGUGAUCUGCCUCUGAGUGGGGGAUAACGUUUCGAAAGGAACGCUAAUACCGCAUGACAUCCUGUUCUUGGAUGAACGGUGAUCGAAGCUGGGGACCGCAAGGCCUGGCGCUUGGAGAGGAGCCCGCGUCCGAUUAGCUAGUUGGUGGGGUAACGGCCUACCAAGGCGACGAUCGGUAGCCGGCCUGAGAGGGCGGACGGCCACACUGGGACUGAGACACGGCCCAGACUCCUACGGGAGGCAGCAGUGGGGAAUUGUUCGCAAUGGGCGCAAGCCUGACGACGCAACGCCGCGUGGGGGAUGAAGGUCUUCGGAUUGUAAACCCCUGUUGGGUGGGACGAACACCUUCGUGGUGAAUAGCCAUGGAGGCUGACGGUACCACCUGAGGAAGCCCCGGCUAACUCUGUGCCAGCAGCCGCGGUAAUACAGAGGGGGCAAGCGUUGUUCGGAAUUACUGGGCGUAAAGGGCGCGUAGGCGGCCUGUUAAGUCAGACGUGAAAUCCCUCGGCUCAACCGGGGAACUGCGUCUGAUACUGGCGGGCUUGAAU
RNAcentral lists this ribosomal RNA (607 nucleotides) under uncultured bacterium. Its description in RNAcentral is "bacterial SSU rRNA". It matches the Rfam family "Bacterial small subunit ribosomal RNA", at positions 61 to 647 of the family's 1533-position model. The record is from RNAcentral.